This is a long non-coding RNA of Drosophila eugracilis, 2229 nucleotides long. RefSeq lists it as uncharacterized. Lineage: Eukaryota; Metazoa; Arthropoda; Insecta; Diptera; Drosophilidae. The transcript has 3 exons. The record is from RefSeq and is a predicted model, not a curated record.
CAUUACGAUUUUCUGAGAUAUUUAAUAUUUAUUCAUAAGGUGACAGGCGGUCACACAAAAAUGUGUAACAAACUGUAAAAUAACUUAUCUCUUCAGACUUAGUUGUAAGCACAAUGUAUUGCUCUCCUUUACUUUUGCCUAAAGAUCAUGCUAACGAAAACUAUGUGUGUCCUGUUCGCACGGAAGGCAAAUGUCACCAAUACAUUUACAAAUUAAGCUAUGGAUAGAAUAAGAUAAAGGAAUGAAGAGUACUUCGUAUUUGGCCCCAAAAGAGAACAGGACGUUUAUGACGACGCCUACAUUUAAAAUUGUAGUUUAAUUUGAAUAAUAUUCUAAUAUAAAUUUAAAACUAAAAUAUUAAAUAAGUUUAAUAAGUUUAACAACACGAUUAUUUUUUAAUAAUCUCCCAACUCCCAAAUCUAAGUGAUCACAUUUACAUAGUACCCCUUCCCCACUUAAAACUAAUGGGUAUCAAGAAACGAAACGCUGACGUCGCCGUUGCUGCCGACGCUGUCUUGUUAAUUUUUGAGCUAUUUAUUUUGAUGUUUUCGGUUUUACGCUAUCAUCAAGUCGCCCAAACGCAAUGCCAAAGUUCUUUAGUAGCUGCAAAAACUGUAUAAAAACACCACAAUUUCUUCAUUGCACUUAAUUGAUUGAUCAUUUCUCUAUCACUUACAAUGUCACACUCGCUCAUUGUCACUUUGUCACACUCGAUCAUUGGCAGUGAUCUUUAUGUGUAAACACUUCAGUUGUGAUCGAGUCAAGAUCAUUUCAUUUAGAGAUCUUUAUGUUGAUCUGUAUUCUUUUUAGGAGAUCGCUUAUCUUCCCAUUUGUAUUCGAGUGAUCUACAAUUGCUCUUGAUCUAGUAUUUAGCCACGCGACUGAUCACAUCUGGUUUCUGAUCUUCUGGCAAUGAUAUGUCAAACCUGCUGAUGGUUCAAUCAUUAAUCUUGUGAAGUACUUUGGAUAGAUUUUCAGGAAAUCCUUGAGAUACUCACAGCUUGUAACAAUCCUCUCAAAGCACUCCAAACUUGGCGAUCAACCCAAUCGGAAACCCGGCAAAAGGGCAAUUCUGACUAAGCCGCUAGUGAACUAGCCCAUUGAGCUUACCAUUUUUGCAUACGGUGGCAUUUUCAAUGGUCUCAUAACCCAGGGCCAGACAAUGAAACCUUCUCAUCCCCCCCACCCCCUUGUGGAUCCACUGUACCUACCACCCACCCCCCCUUUGGAAUCUGCUGUCAAUGUGCGUAACAAUUAAAUCGUGUGGCUUCCUCUUCUGUCUGCAGACAAUUUGCAAAUGAUCGGUCGCCGUGGGUACGGUGGCUUUAGCUUGGCCCACAGGAUGCCAGUGCUGGGAUGGGAUUGGAUUGGAUUGCGUGGCCCAUGCACCUAACUUCAUCACGAUCCGCGACACGAAAAUAGUUGCACUCCUCCCAAAGACGGCAAAGGCGGCGGCAGCGGCGGUGGCGGCGCUCAAUGCGAAGAAGGAGCCUUCUUUUCUUGGAGUCGGAAGCGUCACAUCACGAAGUCGACGCCAACGCCACUGUAAGUAGAAGUGCACUGAGAGAAAUAAAGGGAGUUUUACUAUGACUAUGACUAUGGCUAACUUUUAGAUCCUUCUACUUUUAUAAAGUAAAGAAAUAAUAAGUUACUUAUCAGAUUUAGUCUUUAGAACCUUAAAUAAGGAUAUUUCCAGUGUAAUAAUGGCAACGAGCAAUAGCAAUAGGCCAUAGCAACUGGCAACUGGCUAGUCGCCUCGACUCAAGACGACUGGAAUCGACUUCCAACUGCCACCAGGUUGGCUGCCCCGGCGAUUUCGAUUUCGAGUUCUCGUGGUGCUUUGCAUAUUUAGCAAACACAUUGCCAUGGCUCGUAGCGAAAACGGUUUCAUUGUUGCCGCCAACGACAUGAAAGCCUGCGCUCCUUUCUGGCUUUUGGUGGCGAAAACAACACACACACACACACACAGCCAUAGCCACUCUUGGCCAGCCAUCUCCGCCCGCAGCAGACACUCAACACACAGAUGCCGAUAUAAUAACAAUCGACAAAGAGAGAUGGAGGGGGACGAUGGAUCUAUAUAGUAUAAGCACUAUAGUCAGCACUACGGAUAUAUGGUGGACCUGAAACCGGAGGAGGCCCCGAACGAGGGCUAAGAAGAACCCAACUGAAUGCUGGCCAACAACGAGACCAACCGACAAGAAAAUAAGUUGAAUAAAAUUAUUGUGAACA